CUAGUACGCACGCGCCCGAGUAGCGACUACAGCCGCUGAAGCGGUACAUCCAGUUAAGAUCUCCUGUACUUUUUAGAUUCACCUGUACAUUCAUUCCAGCCGGGAGAUCAAGUGUAUCUUCGGACCUGGAAGGACGAGCCAUUGGUAGAAAAGUGGAGGGGACCGUAUCUUGUACUGCUAACAACAAAUACUGCUGUGAAACUGCAGGGAAUUGAUUCCUGGAUCCACUACACCCGAGUGAAAGCAGUACCUCGAGAGACGUGGAAAGCUGAACAAGUUCAACCUCUAAAGUUAAAAAUAUAUAAAGAUAUAUGAGUUGUAUUGGAAGCGAAUCGGUUUUAAAUUUAGAUUGUAUUCAGGAAAGAAUUGCUUUAAUCUGUUUGUUAGGAAUAGGGUUAAUAUUGUUGUUAUGGUAUCUAUGGUAUCUGUGUAAAAAUGAUGUUCUCCCAAAUAACCAGGGGAGAAAUGUGGUGGUUAGUUUUUCUAAGUUACCUGAGCCAAACAAUUAAAGGGAAUCAGGAAGGAUUUUGGAGCCAUAAUCUCCAUUUGGAAGUAAUUACGAAAUCUAUGAAGAUAAUUAACCAGAAGGAUUGCUGGGUGUGUACCCACUUCCCUGAACAUUCCAACAAGGGCUUCCCCCUAAUUGGAGUGCCUCUUAAUUUUUCCUUUAUGGAAUUUAUGAAACAGAUAAGAAAUGAUAGUGAUCAAACGAAAUAUAAUGAAACAACCGAACAGGAAUGGGAAGUCCAGAGUGUGACAGGAGAUUAUUCAACCGAUCAACUGUACUGGAGCCAUUAAGGUGGGAGGUUAUAAAAAUUGCUCUCAUAUACCUGAAAUAGGUUAUAAGUGGCCAAGUAAGGAACUAAAUGGGUGGCGUGUUCCCAAAGGUAGUGGAUGGUAUUGGUUGUGUGGGAACAAGGCACGAAAAGUGCUACCUCCUAAUUGGUCAGGGACGUGUACUUUAGGGGCAAUAAUCCCUAAUGUUACUAUAAGAAAAGAAUUGAGUAAUAAAUAUCAAAAAUCCUGGCUAAGAACAUUCAUGAGGAGACAAAAGAGGGUCAAUAAUCCUUUAAUAGAUCGACCUACUAGGUUUCAGUCAUUCGUAAGGUGGCUGUUUCCACAAUUGGGAGUGAGUGAACUUGAAAAAGCAAUAGUAAAUAUUUCAGCAGUUAUUGAAAAAAAUAGGGAAUAAAACCUCUGAUGCCAUUGCAGCUUUACAAGAGGAGGUUUCAGAAAUUGCUAAAAUAAGUACCCAAAACAGGAUGGCUCUAGAUAUGUUAUUGGCAUCUCAGGGAGGAGUAUGUACAGUAAUAAACACUAGUUGCUGUGUAUAUGUGGAUCAAAGCAGGAGAAUUUCUACCGAUCUAAAUGAAAUCUGGAAGCAGACUGAAAUCUUACAUGGGGUUCAGAAAGAUGAUACUUCUUUCGGAUUUGAAGAAACAUGGAAAUGGUUGACUUCCUGGUUCCCUGAUGUGAGCUCAUGGGUUAAAAAAUGUUUAACAAUUCUAGGAUUGGUGCUAGUAGUUUUUGUAUGCGUUUAUGUAGUGAUUCAAUGUAUUUCUAAGUGUUAUAUGAAACUAAUAUGGGAAAGAUUUUAAGAGAGUGAGACUAAUAUGAAAAUGAUCAUAUAAGUCUCAAAGGGGGGAAUUGUUACAAGACAACCCUGAGAAGCUCAGAAAGAAUGUUUGAAGUAGGUAGAUUUGGAUAACUUCUAUCUUAGAUAGAAUUUGCUUAGCAUGAGUAGCCGCACACUUGCUUAGCAUAAGUAGCUGAAUUUGCUGAAGCCUUAGGCCACACUCCCAGUUCGUUAAGAAAAGGCCUCAGGGCUGGUGCAGGCUGGAAAGAUAAGGGAGUUACAAGCAGUCUGCAUUCCUGUGCCCCACUCUCCAGAAGGGAGGAUGCCAAGGCUGAGAAAUAAGGCCUGUUUGGGCGCCAGGACCUUGGGAAGCAAAAAGCUUCCUCUCACUGUUAAAACAGUGAUGAUUAAGGGGUCUGGAUUAUGUCUUCUUCCUCAGGGCCUUGGAAGAUAACACCUACUGACCCAGCUGGGGCAGUGUUAAUUAAUUGACCAGGACCUUGAGAAGCAGGGGUGGGACCCAGGGAAAUGUGAAGAAAUCAUUAACCAAUCAGUGUGAAAGAGGAAGGAAGUCACAAAUAUGGCAAAUUUGAUUGUAUAAAUGCUACCUGAAAAGUUGGGGGGUGUGUGCUCGAUUUGUGGGAGACCACUGAGCACUCAGGCUUGUGCAACUCUGAAAUAAAUAAAUAAAUGUCUCUCCUGA
This is a long non-coding RNA of Dromaius novaehollandiae (emu), 2279 nucleotides long. RefSeq lists it as uncharacterized. The transcript is spliced from 2 exons. NCBI's taxonomy places the organism in Eukaryota, Metazoa, Chordata, Aves, Casuariiformes, Dromaiidae. The record is from RefSeq and is a predicted model, not a curated record.